Molecule: long non-coding RNA, 962 nt
Organism: Hylaeus anthracinus
Lineage: Eukaryota; Metazoa; Arthropoda; Insecta; Hymenoptera; Colletidae
Exons: 4
Source: RefSeq, a predicted model, not a curated record
UCUUAGUUCUAAGUCGCUUUAGAUACAUGUUAGCUUAAGUUAAGUAACCCAAUAAAAAAAAAAAAAAAGGUACCUAUGUAUGUAAUUCAAUAAAUAAUAGAUUAAAGUUCAAACGUGCCUUUGAAUUUUGUUUAAAAAUUGCCACGAAUUUUCUGGACAACCUAAUAUUUCUGAUAAUUUGUAAUAAAUAAAAACACUGUGAAAUCGCGGUGCCGCGGAAAUCGUAAUCGUGCCGUUUCGUGGGCAUCUCUGAUGUGUCGUGUGGGUGAGGGUCGACCGGGGCUCGAAGCAACGUGUGACGGGUAGUGGCAGUUGCGCGUGGUGAGCACGAUAGCGAGCUCAUAAGCUCAGUAGUAGGCUAGCGCGCCUACCGUGAGGGUGGCUGCAUGGCAUGCAGCCUAGCAGCUCGCCUUACUUUCGUGUUCUCCUCUAUUACCAUCGUUUCCAUUCACUUUUUUCUUUAAUCCUAACUGUUCUCGUCAGUGCCACUUCGACUUACGACGGGCAAAGUGUUUUAUCAAAUUGGAAACGAAACAUAUCGUAACUGGUGCGUGUGUGUGUGCGUGUGUGAGUGUUCGAGGGAAUUGACACAUAUCAUCGGUAACAACACGAGGAUCAGCGUGGGAUACAAAAGUUGCUGCUUUGAUCGGUCUUCCUUCGUAAAGGGAUUCAUUAAUACGAGAUCUUUGAGACGAGGUUCAUUGUGUGAUGCAGAACUUGCUGUUUUUAUCAGAAUUUUGGGUGAAGCAGUUAUGAUACAGCGAUGAGCCUGCAGGCCCAGGCUCAAGCGCAGCGCCCUGCCAGGUACUCCCCUCAGGAGACCGUCAAGAUGCGAUUCGAGACAGUUGAAGUGGUAGAAACGCUGCGAUGUGCAACGAUAUAGUCGAAUUACCUGGCCUCUGUUGUUAUCUUCGAAACCGUUUCACAAAAGGGAUUCUGGGAUUUAUUUUCUAAUAAAGAAA